AGAGUUUGAUCCUGGCUCAGGACGAACGCUGGCGGCGUGCCUAAUACAUGCAAGUCGAGCGGACGAAUCGAAAGCUUGCUUUUGAUUCGUUAGCGGCGGACGGGUGAGUAACACGUGGGCAACCUGCCCUGUAGACGGGGAUAACACCGAGAAAUCGGUGCUAAUACCGGAUAACACGAAAUGUCGCAUGACGUUUCGUUGAAAGACGGCGCAAGCUGUCGCUACAGGAUGGGCCCGCGGCGCAUUAGCUAGUUGGUGAGGUAACGGCUCACCAAGGCGACGAUGCGUAGCCGACCUGAGAGGGUGAUCGGCUACACUGGGACUGAGACACGGCCCAGACUCCUACGGGAGGCAGCAGUAGGGAAUCUUCCGCAAUGGACGAAAGUCUGACGGAGCAACGCCGCGUGAGCGAAGAAGGCCUUCGGGUCGUAAAGCUCUGUUGUUAGGGAAGAACAAGUAACGCAGUAACUGGCGUUACCGUGACGGUACCUAACGAGAAAGCCACGGCUAACUACGUGCCAGCAGCCGCGGU
RNAcentral lists this ribosomal RNA (532 nucleotides) under uncultured bacterium. RNAcentral describes it as "bacterial SSU rRNA". It matches the Rfam family "Bacterial small subunit ribosomal RNA", at positions 8 to 521 of the family's 1533-position model. The record is from RNAcentral.